ACAGCAUGGACACCACUUCAUGUAGGGGCACUGGACUGCCUAGAGUUGGAGGAAGGGACCCUGUUCUCACAUCGCUUUCCUGUUUCCCUCUCCUGCAAUAUGGAUUUGACAUAUUAAUCAUUACAGCAACUGCUAAAAUUCCACUGUGCUUCAUUAAUCCGGAGGAAAAUACCAUGUCAGCUGGAACUUACUGUGUCUCUGUUUGAUUGAGCCUGGGCAUGAGAUAAAACACGAGGUCAUCUGCAAUGGCACUGGUGCUGUGGCUGUAUCAGCAUGGCUCUGAUGUCCCUUCGGGGCAGGCAACAGUUCAGGGAGGACUUACAAGCAAGCUCUGAUGGAGUCUCGCUCUGUCGCCCAGGCUGGAGUGCAGUGGUGUGAUCUCGGCUCACUGAACUUCCCCUCCCCAGUUCAAGCGAUUCUCCUGCCUCAGCCUCCCUAGUAGCUGGGAUUACAGGCCCCCACCACCAUGCCUGGCUAAUUUUUAAAUAUUUUUAGUGGAGAUGGGGUUUCACCAUGUUGGCCAGGAUGGUCUUGAGCUCCUGACCUCAAGGGAUCCACCCGCCUCGGCCUCCCAAAGCACUGGGAUUACAGGUAUAAGCCACCGCGUCCGGCCUACUCCCA
This 621-nucleotide long non-coding RNA is filed under the name Homo sapiens (human). RNAcentral describes it as "long intergenic non-protein coding RNA 1762". The record is from RNAcentral. Lineage: Eukaryota; Metazoa; Chordata; Mammalia; Primates; Hominidae.